This 433-nucleotide ribosomal RNA is filed under the name uncultured bacterium. RNAcentral describes it as "partial 16S ribosomal RNA". It matches the Rfam family "Bacterial small subunit ribosomal RNA", at positions 29 to 507 of the family's 1533-position model. The record is from RNAcentral.
AACGAACGCUGGCGGCAUGCCUAACACAUGCAAGUCGAACGAGACCUUCGGGUCUAGUGGCGCACGGGUGCGUAACGCGUGGGAACCUGCCCUUAGGUUCGGAAUAACUCCCCGAAAGGGGUGCUAAUACCGGAUAAUGUCUUCGGACCAAAGAUUUAUCGCCUUUGGAUGGGCCCGCGUUGGAUUAGCUAGUUGGUAGGGUAAAAGCCUACCAAGGCGACGAUCCAUAGCUGGUCUGAGAGGAUGAUCAGCCACACUGGGACUGAGACACGGCCCAGACUCCUACGGGAGGCAGCAGUGGGGAAUAUUGGACAAUGGGCGAAAGCCUGAUCCAGCAAUGCCGCGUGAGUGAUGAAGGCCUUAGGGUUGGAAAGCUCUUUUACCCGGGAUGAUAAUGACAGUACCGGGAGAAUAAGCGACGGCUAACUCCGUG